CUUGCUAUAAAUAUUCUCAACAUGACACUUCUCACUAUGCAACUUUUUGCUCUGGCACAACUUCAUCAUUUUCUUAUUAAUUAAUGAUAGUUGCAUUUAACAUGAGCCUGAAAAUAAUUUUUAAAUAUCUACCUCUAGUAUUACAUGCAACAUAUAUGCAAAACUCUUUAAUAUUCCUCUAAACAUAAAAUCAAAAUAGACCUCUAUACAAGAAAAUGUAUAAGAAGCCAGAUAGUAGCAAGGGGAAAGAAGCAAGAAGACCCUUGUGCAAUUCAGACCCAUGUGGUUCCUCUUCCAUAAUUGGCUCUAAUUUGAAAUAAUUUGAGGAUCUUCGAUAAUGAUGUAUUAGAAGGAUUGGUGCCACUUCACCCCAAUCGUUGAUGGAUUUUAUGUCUCUCACCAUUUUGAAAAUACAAUUCAAGCAAACCCUUUUUUCUUUAGAAUAUGGAAUGUUUUGAAGACACAAUAUGGUGAAUUCUUGAAAGAUUG
This 489-nucleotide long non-coding RNA is filed under the name Lupinus angustifolius (narrow-leaved blue lupine). RNAcentral describes it as "long non-coding RNA (LANG_LNC002087)". Lineage: Eukaryota; Viridiplantae; Streptophyta; Magnoliopsida; Fabales; Fabaceae. The record is from RNAcentral.